ACACCGCAGACCAGUUUGGGUGCAGUGAGGCUCACAGAGGGCAGAUGAGGAAGGGGAGGUUGGAAAGGCGGGCCGGGGUCUGAGGGCAGAGGCCUCAACCACGGGGUGCAGGAGGAGGUCAGGCUUCUGAGCACAUGGAGGAGCAAAGGGAGUUCAGAGUGAUGUCAUAAAAUCAGUAUUUGGGGAGAUGACUCUGGCAGCUGCACGCAGGACUGGCUGGGGAAGGGAGCACAGGAGACCUGGCAGAGCAGCCAGGAGGCAACUGCAAUAAUUCAAGCAGGUGGUGAGAGGGGCCGGCGAGCCACUGCCUCCCCGGCAGAAUCACGCUUCUGGCAGCAACCGUCUCUACGACAGCGGGAGCGCCAUCAAGGGCAACACUCGGCGACUGUCCCCAUUAGACUGCACCUCCAAUGUCCACCAGUCCUCCCGCCUGACAGCCGGUGCUGGCUAUGCCCGGCACCGGUUUCCUGCAAGUGGCCACCUUCCCCCUCCUGGAUCCCGCCAGGGCUGAGCCAGUCCAUUUUUAGAUGACAGCUCCCAUAGUACACUCUCCCUUAAAGGAGAUAAACAGGGAUGAGGCGGGGUGGGGGGUGGGGGCGCAGGGAGAGAGCUUCCACGGCUGAGCGCACUGUCCCAAAGAGGUAUCUUCCCAAUGAUUUCAUAAGGCACUAUGUUGACAUGACACUGAAGACUACGAUAAAAAGGAGGUGGAGAAAAAAGUAUGAAAGAAAGGACUGGAGGGUUCAAGCCACAUUAAAACCACGAUGAGAGCAGGCUGCUUCCUAGGAGCCCACUGUGCGCCGUGCCGUGUCUGGGGCAUAAGGACAGAGACACAGGAAGAAACACCAUCGUAAGAGGGGGUGCCACAGGCCUCAAGAGAAGGGACACUAAGAGCUGGAACCAGAGGACUGCAAGGGAAGAAGCCUCAGCCGCCCGUCUUGAGGCCAGGAUGUCUCAGGGCCAGCCCCCUGCCCUCUGAGGCACCGGCCCCAUUCUCCAGAUAGGACAACAUCAGCCUGGAAGGUGCUGCCAGAGGCAGACAAGAAGAAGAGGGUUAACAGUAAUGACUUAGGUUGUUUCACAGUUACCACGGGCUUGGCAUCGUGUUCUCAAGUGCUCUACACGUCCUAUCUCUUUACUCCUGCCAGAACCCCAAGAAAUGCUCAGUACCAUGGUGUCCCAUUUUACAGAGAAGAACGGAGACAGGAUGAGGAGGUAACCUGGCUACCAGGAAGUUAGAGAGCUAAAAUUUAAUUCCAGGUUGAAAAAGCUACGCUCUUAACUGCCACAUCGAAGGCUGGGAGACGCCUUAGACUCAGCACUCUUCCAAGAUCAAGUGUUCCUUGAAAGAUGGUCACGCAAGGGCAGGUUGCUUUUGGAGCUGUCCUCAUGCCAUUCCAUGCAGUAAUAAAUAACAAUUUCAUUUUACUCAAGAUACUAGACUACUCUAAAUAAUGCAUACGUAUAUACAGAUUAAUUACUUAUACAUGUUAAUAUAUGGUUAUACUGUAUAACAGAAUAUGUCAUUGUAAUACAUAAAUAUAUCAAAUGAGUAUACAUAUGUGCACAUAUAUCUCUAGUCUUACAACAUCCUCAUUAGGCAGAUACUAAGUUCUCUCUUUUCCAAAUGAGAAAGCGAAUGAAAAGAGUUCGUGCAACUUCCCCAAGGGCUCACAGCUGUGAAAAGCCAGGAUUUGAACCCUGACAGCUUUGUUCCCAAGUCAUCCUCUUGAUGCCCCACUCCACUGCUCACACUGGCUUCCUCUGACUCAACUACAAAUUCAGAGCACAGUUCGAGGCUUCUAGGUGCUCUCUAUGCCCACACCAUGCCCAGCCCCGAUGCCGAAUCCUUUGUAGGUGCCUUGAUAAAUGCCUACUAAUGAACAAACAGGUGCCUCCUGCACUAUUUAUAGCUCCCAGCAUGGCCAACUGGCUAUAAUCAGCACAGCCUCCCUCAGGACACGGCUAAAUUAAACCGGUGGGAUUAGAAGCAACAGCCUCACACAGCACCUCUGGACACCUCCAGCAAAGAGCACUGGUGCUGCACAGGAGUCCCAGCCAGUGGCCUUUCUCUUGGAUGGUGCCCUGAUCCAAGGGUUUCCCAAUGGCCUCUAGUGGCCUGAUCUCAAUUCUGGGGGCUGAUUUCUCCUGGGACCCCCUAAUAAAGUCAAAAGUAGAUGAGUAAUCCCUCUCUUUGAGGGUCGGGAAGCCAGGAUUCUGGUCCUGGCUUUGCCUAUGAUCAGCCCAAUGGCCAAGAGACUCCACUUGUCUGGCUUUCAGUUUUGCCUCUUGAAACGCAGAGGCCAGGACAGGUCCAUUUCUGAAGUCCCUCCGGGGCAUUUUGCAUAUGUCAAGUGGCCACCGCUGGUGCUGUCCUGGGGCUGAGAUAGAUCCCAGGAGGCUGUAGAGAAGGGCCUAGGGAAGGUGCAGGCCACCCACAAGGGAGGGCUCUGACCUGAGAGCCUGCUGUGACUUCUCAGCACACCGCGCUGUCAACCUUUUCUUUAAUGAUCUGUGCAACUGCUCAACCGCCAUCGUUGCAUAAAAGCAGCCACAGAAGAUAUGUAAAUGAAUGCACAUGGCUACGUUCUAAUAAAACUUUAUGUAUACACA
Acinonyx jubatus (cheetah) is the source of this 2613-nucleotide long non-coding RNA. RefSeq lists it as uncharacterized. Lineage: Eukaryota; Metazoa; Chordata; Mammalia; Carnivora; Felidae. The transcript is spliced from 2 exons. The record is from RefSeq and is a predicted model, not a curated record.